GAAUUGACGGGGGGCCCGCACAAGCGGUGGAGCAUGUGGUUUAAUUCGACGCAACGCGAAGAACCUUACCUGGCCUUGACAUGCAGAGAACUUUCCAGAGAUGGAUUGGUGCCUUCGGGAACUCUGACACAGGUGCUGCAUGGCCGUCGUCAGCUCGUGUCGUGAGAUGUUGGGUUAAGUCCCGUAACGAGCGCAACCCCUAUCCCUAGUUGCUAGCAGUUCGGCUGAGAACUCUAGGGAGACUGCCGGUGACAAACCGGAGGAAGGUGGGGAUGACGUCAGGUCAUCAUGGCCCUUACGGCCAGGGCUACACACGUGCUACAAUGGCGCGCACAGAGGGCUGCAAACCCGCGAGGGGGAGCUAAUCUCACAAAACGCGUCGUAGUCCGGAUCGGAGUCUGCAACUCGACUCCGUGAAGUCGGAAUCGCUAGUAAUCGUGAAUCAGAAUGUCACGGUGAAUACGUUCCCGGGCCUUGUACACACCGCCCGUCACACCAUGGGAGUGGAUUGCACCAGAAGUGGUUAGUCUAACCUUCGGGAGGACGAUCACCACGGUGUGGUUCAUGACUGGGGUGAAGUCGUAACAAGGUAGCCGUA
This 598-nucleotide ribosomal RNA is filed under the name uncultured Marinobacter sp. RNAcentral describes it as "bacterial SSU rRNA". It matches the Rfam family "Bacterial small subunit ribosomal RNA", at positions 907 to 1504 of the family's 1533-position model. The record is from RNAcentral. Lineage: Bacteria; Pseudomonadati; Pseudomonadota; Gammaproteobacteria; Pseudomonadales; Marinobacteraceae.